RNAcentral lists this long non-coding RNA (3933 nucleotides) under Stylophora pistillata. RNAcentral describes it as "uncharacterized LOC111344851, transcript variant X1". The record is from RNAcentral. Lineage: Eukaryota; Metazoa; Cnidaria; Anthozoa; Scleractinia; Pocilloporidae.
UUGUAAAAUAAUUUGGUUUUAUCAACUGAGUUGAUAAUGUGAAUUGGCCAUCAUAAAGAGUUUGUAAAGCGGACAUUUGUUUGUCACUGACUCAGACUUUGUUCCCAUAACUUUGAGCUUGCGACAGCAAAGGAGAGCUCAAAAACAUCAAGUAUGGUUAAUAUUUUUGGCUCAUAAGAAAGCUGAAUCACAUUUGACUGUGACAACACUCUGUUAAAUGAAGGUCCACAACUAAAGCAAGGACUCUGUCUUAAGUUAUGUAUAAGCCUGCUAAUAUUUAUUGUUAUUGUCAUGAGGAGAUUAAAUUAAGGCGCUAUAAGCGAUAUUUAAAUGUAAUGAUAAUACUGAGGUAAGAAUGAUUUGCAGAAAAAGAUAUCAGUGGAUGUUAUAGAAUAGUUUAACAUUAUUAAAUAUUAUAUCAGCAUUUUUUGUCUCUUUGUAUAAAAAAAAUUUUUACCUCUUGAAGUAUUUCCAUUCACUAAUUGCUCACAGAUGAUCGGUAGGCAUCUGUCACUGGCCUUAUUAUUGGAAAAUUGAUAAUAAAUUAUUGAUUAUUAGGUUAUUUAAUUGUAAUUAUUUCUUGUGGAUUUAAGAAGUUUUCAAGUUGAACUCUGUUGUUUUCAACAUAUGUAUGCAUAAGUUAGUUUUAAAUUGGUAAGGGUAAUCAAAAUUUUAUUACCUUUUAUAAAAAUAUGGUGUAGCAAUUAUAGUCGAAUUCUCUUUCAUUUGCAGUGUUACAGAUUGAAGGAUAUUUAGAAUACAUUAUGAUUAAUGGAAGGUAGUUUUCGUGAAACCGUGGACUAAAAAAAUAUUUAUCGGUAUAUUUGAAAUGCAAAGAUGAGUCAACUUUCUGGUGAGGUUUUUGUAAAUAAAUAUUGGUUGAAUAGCGUUAUUGUUGUCUUUUUUUCUGUUUCAUAUCUGAAUUGCAGAUUAUGAGAACUGACUUCUCUGAACCGUGAUUUUUUUUUGUCGUUGAAAUUAAAACAUAGCCACUUAUAAAUUUGCAUUUCAAAGCAGGAACUGCACGUUUUCGCUUAGAAACGUCAAGAAAAAAUUUUAUGAACAAAUUACAGGUAAUUAAUGUUAAAUUAUUCAUCUUUGCCAACGAGCAUGGCGGACAACUGUGAGCCGUUAGCGUGAUAAUGUUAUUUUUGGCAAAGAGCUCUCUUACAUCAGUGUUUUCGACUUUGGAAGGGGAUAGUAUGUUUGGAAGAAGAAUUUCGCAGGUACACGUGGAGUUCUGACUUUCAAAUAACUCAGUUUUGGACUGAUAACCGCCAAGUUACACGUAGACGUGACAUGACCAAGAAAGUCAAGGAUUUGGAAACAAAUACUUGAAAGCUUUAACAAUCAUGUUCUCUUGUACAGUUGGAACUGUUCACGAGGAGAUGAUCAGAUCUGCUGAGCACAGGAAAAGAUUUGGGAUGCAUUUACUUUCAACGUUCAGACCGUGUUGUUUCAUGUCAAGCAAGACUCAAAGACAACCACACAUUCGACAGACGAGUUCCAGGCGGAUAUUUGAAACGAAUUGCAGCUAGGAUUGUUGAUUGGUUAUCCAAAAUUUCUUGCAUACAGUUUCAUUCUUUGAGGACAAAUUCGCCAGAUUUUAUUUUAAGGAUUGUCAUGAAAGUUCAAGCCGGUUAAAUUUUGGAAUAGAUUCAGGAAUAAAGUCGAAUUUUUUAUUUGAUUCUUGCUCACUAAGGUAACCCCUGUUCAGAAUUUUAAAUUUUCCCGCCAAAAAACUUAGGUAAAAAUGCAUGCGCUGUAUUUUUAUUUGGUAUUAAAUAAGUCAAUAACUCAUUGUGUAGUGUUUUAUUUUCUAAUCUUCCUUUUCGUUCUCAAGAUAUCAGUCAAACAAUACAAGUAUUUUGUCAUUUCAUUGUUUUAUUCUCUCCUAAUAUUCUUUAAUUAGAUAAGUGAUUUUCCGUUAAAUAAUCCAAAACGUGUCAAGAAAAAUGCGUUUAAAUAUGUACUAAGACUUUUGGCGGGAAAAUUUGGAGCAAUUUUCACAGAGUUUUCCCGACAACAUUUUCGAUAAAAAUUCAAAAUGCCUUCCUCUGAAUUUUUCCGUCAAACUAGAUAUGAACAUCACCUUGUGCAAAAUUUUUUCACACAAAAACUAUGAAACAGCCCUUCGUUUUAUUUUUUUAAGAUUUGACGACUUUUUCUCCGAGUAAUUAGUCUUUGAAUUUGUUUUUUUUUUUUGCACAAGAUGAUAAACUCUACUUUUACAAUGGGAAAAAUGGCAAGCUUUCUUUUAGUGCACUGCAAAUUGGCGUGUUUUAGAACUCCUUUUUUGCCAAUUUUAAAUGUCGACUUGAAAUUUUACGCGUAAAGCUCAAUUGCCAUUUUGCUAUAAGACAGACAUUUUUCAGCCAUACGGUUUUUGUUUAGUUUCACAGGACAUUUGACGCGAGCUGAUCCAUAUUUGUAAAUAAUAAAUUUGUGUUGGAGUUAAAAUAAUUUUGAACUGCUUUCUUCUCCUUUCAGUGUCAAAGACUCAGACAAUCAAUGAAUUUGUCGAGUCAAAUUGUAUUCUUCACCGAGAAGUUCCGAUUUCAAUCUUCAAACUUUACCUACAGUCCUGUGUUGCAUUAACUUUUGGCUGAAACAUGUCUCUCUAAGUUGCAAGUAAUAUGAUAAAACCCUACGACUCGCUCAAAGUCCUUAAAGAAUAGUUUUGAAGGAAACAUUUUACGCGAAAUGUGACCAUCCACGAAAACACUUUGAAAUGGGUUGUACAGACCAUAAUUAAGUCGCAAAACAUCAAACAAUUCUAUUCAGGUCUUCGAUUUUUACUCCAUUAGUGAAAUUGAAAUUAAAAUGAACAAAAACAGGCACUUUCCAGACAAACUUCGAUGGGAAACACUUGUGUAAUUUAAUUGUGCCAAUAGAUCAGAUUCUUUCAAACAAAGCAUUAAUUCUUAAGCAUCGUCAAGUUGGAGCUUUGUCGAACAGACAAUUUGAUCCCCCUAGUUUUCAAGUACGUUGGGAAUUCCAGACCCAAACUAAAUUCGUGAGUAACUUUUAACUUGAACUGAUUAAGAAUCCUGCUUCCUUUUCCUCGAAAAAUUCCUUCAGUCAUGAUAAAAUAAAUCUUGGAAUGCGUCAUCUUCUGUUUCAAAGUAAUAUUAACCUAUUUCUUAAUAGUCAAAUUUAAACUAGAAAUUCUCCUUGUUUUUUUUUGUAUUGUUUUCUUUCCUUCUUCAUAAUAUUUGCGAGUGGUCUGUAUAACGUCAUAUCAACGCUGUUAAACGAAAUUUAUUUUAGAAUACUCUGAGCCAGACAGAGGUUUUAUACACUAAACUAACAAAACGACAAGAGAACGUUGACAAGUGAGCUUUACGUAAAUCAUUCGAGUUUUAUUUUGUUUUUUAAUCAAUAGCUAUAAGACAAUCACAGGUUAAAUUUGUGAGUGGCAGUCGAAUGUCGGUGACAGUAACUGGUCAGUAACUAUCGUACAUUGUCGACUCUAGAAUUCAGUUGAUGGUUACGGACGAGCCCACGAUAUCUGGUACAGACAUUGCAGCGUAAUCAGUAGAUUUCAAAAGUCAAGUCAAUAUUUCGUCCUAGGAGGUUGUCGUCAAGGUAAAAACUUGAGAAAAUAUCAAGGUAUUUGUUUUCGUCAGAUUAAUUUCCCAGUUCGUUGUAAAUUACUUAUGCUCGCUACUGUAGAGUCCGAAUAGCCAAAGCCUUGUGUUAAGUCAAGGUGUAGGAGAGUGCUUACUGAAGUAAUCUGUCGGUAUGUGUCAGGUUUCGUAAACCGUUGUCGGUCGCUGUUUGGAAUGUAGUCUAAAAGUUAAUCCCAUAUUGUAUGUGGUCGUUGGAUGCUGGUGGAGUUUCGUUAUAGUAAAGAACGUCAAAUGUAAGUACGUAGCGUUACUAAGCCAGUGCAAGUCAUGUUCAGUUCGUAAAUAAAUAGCUAUUUUUUUA